CAGCCGCCACGGUAAUGCGUAGGGUGCGAGCGUUAAUCGGAAUUACUGGGCGUAAAGCGUGCGCAGGCGGCUUUGCAAGACAGAUGUGAAAUCCCCGGGCUCAACCUGGGAACUGCAUUUGUGACUGCAAGGCUAGAGUACGGUAGAGGGGGAUGGAAUUCCGCGUGUAGCAGUGAAAUGCGUAGAUAUGCGGAGGAACACCAGUGGCGAAGGCAAUCCCCUGGACCUGUACUGACGCUCAUGCACGAAAGCGUGGGGAGCAAACAGGAUUAGAUACCCCCGUAGUCCCUGUCUCUUAUAC
This 301-nucleotide ribosomal RNA is filed under the name uncultured bacterium. RNAcentral describes it as "partial 16S ribosomal RNA". It matches the Rfam family "Bacterial small subunit ribosomal RNA", at positions 509 to 807 of the family's 1533-position model. The record is from RNAcentral.